Molecule: ribosomal RNA, 1075 nt
Filed under: epibiont metagenome
Description: bacterial SSU rRNA
Rfam family: Bacterial small subunit ribosomal RNA (bases 166-1075)
Source: RNAcentral
AAUCCGUUUCCCUAAAACCCAACUCGCGGGCGUUAAGAGAAACUCCCAAAAGCGCAAAACACGGUUAAACGGGUUCCCAGAAGAGCAAUUGUACAACCCACCACGGGGAAACUGGAAACCCCCGGCCCCAGAAUCCCUACCGGGGAGGCCACCAAUGGGGGAAAAAAUGCCCACCAAAAGGGGGGAAACCCCGGAAGCCAGAACCCCGCCUGGAAGAAAACCAUUAAGGGGUAAACUCCCUUUAACAAGGAAGAGAGACGGACCUUGAGGAAUAAGCACCGCUAACUCCGUGCCAGCACCCCCGGUAAUACGGAGGGUCCAAGCGUUACUCGGAAUCACUGGGCGUAAAGCGCAUGUAGGCGGUUGUUUAAGUUAGAAGUGAAAGCCUACGGCUCAACCGUGGAACAGCUUCUAAAACGGAAAACUAGAGUCUGGGAGAGGAAGAUGGAAUUAGUAGUGUAGGGGUAAAAUCCGUAGAGAUUACUAGGAAUACCGAAAGCGAAGGCGAUCUUCUGGAACAGGACUGACGCUGAGAUGCGAAAGCGUGGGGAGCAAACAGGAUUAGAUACCCUGGUAGUCCACGCCCUAAACGAUGAAUGUUAGUCGUUGGAGUGCUAGCCACUUCAGUGAUGCAGCUAACGCAUUAAACAUUCCGCCUGGGGAGUACGGCCGCAAGGUUAAAACUCAAAGGAAUAGACGGGGACCCGCACAAGUGUGGAGCAUGUGGUUUAAUUCGAAGAUACGCGAAGAACCUUACCUGGCCUUGACAUAUACCAGAAUCUACCAGAGAUGGUGGAGUGCCUUCGGGAGCUGGUAUACAGGUGCUGCACGGCUGUCGUCAGCUCGUGUCGUGAGAUGUUGGGUUAAGUCCCGCAACGAGCGCAACCCUCGUGACUAGUUACUAACAGCAUAGGCUGAGGACUCUAGUCAGACUGCCUUCGUAAGGAGGAGGAAGGUGAGGACGACGUCAAGUCAUCAUGGCCCUUACGCCAGGGCGACACACGUGCUACAAUGGGAAGGACAAAGAGAAGCAAAACUGUGAGGAUGGAGCAGACGAUUCUCUAGAUAUCGCUCA